AGCUUUGCGCAGUGGCAGUAUCGUAGCCAAUGAGGUUUAUCCGAGGCGCGAUUAUUGCUAAUUAAAAUUGCCCAACACAGUUUCUGUAGAGGGAAGGGAGCAGUUAUUUUUCUCAGUGAGUUCCUGUAAUUUUAGCUAAU
This is a small nuclear RNA of Lutra lutra (Eurasian river otter), 140 nucleotides long. RefSeq annotates it as U4 spliceosomal RNA. Lineage: Eukaryota; Metazoa; Chordata; Mammalia; Carnivora; Mustelidae. The transcript has a single exon. The record is from RefSeq and is a predicted model, not a curated record.